Long non-coding RNA from Rhodamnia argentea, 158 nucleotides. RefSeq lists it as uncharacterized. The record is from RefSeq and is a predicted model, not a curated record. The transcript has 3 exons. Lineage: Eukaryota; Viridiplantae; Streptophyta; Magnoliopsida; Myrtales; Myrtaceae.
GAUGUUGAUACUACGUUGAUUUUCAGUUUUAUCCUAACCUUUUAAUCCUACAUGAAAAAUGCCCAACCUUUCUAAACUGUUUCAAACUAUCCCAGGUCUAUAAGCACCACUUGUGAGAGGGAAUAUUCCGCUAGAUUUCUUCCCAAAUUUAGAUCUUG